This 435-nucleotide ribosomal RNA is filed under the name uncultured bacterium. RNAcentral describes it as "bacterial SSU rRNA". It matches the Rfam family "Bacterial small subunit ribosomal RNA", at positions 958 to 1392 of the family's 1533-position model. The record is from RNAcentral.
AACGCGAAGAACCUUACCCACUCUUGACAUCCAGAGAAUUCGCUAGAGAUAGCUUAGUGCCUUCGGGAACUCUGAGACAGGUGCUGCAUGGCUGUCGUCAGCUCGUGUUGUGAAAUGUUGGGUUAAGUCCCGCAACGAGCGCAACCCUUAUCCUUUGUUGCCAGCGAGUAAUGUCGGGAACUCAAAGGAGACUGCCGGUGACAAACCGGAGGAAGGUGGGGAUGACGUCAAGUCAUCAUGGCCCUUACGAGUAGGGCUACACACGUGCUACAAUGGCCGGUACAAAGGGCAGCGAAGCCGCAAGGUGGAGCGAAUCUCACAAAACCGGUCGUAGUCCGGAUUGCAGUCUGCAACUCGACUGCAUGAAGCUGGAAUCGCUAGUAAUCGCGGAUCAGAAUGCUACGGUGAAUACGUUCCCGGGCCUUGUACACACCG